Molecule: ribosomal RNA, 250 nt
Filed under: uncultured prokaryote
Description: partial 16S ribosomal RNA
Rfam family: Bacterial small subunit ribosomal RNA
Source: RNAcentral
UACGUAGGUGGCAAGCGUUGUCCGGAUUUACUGGGUGUAAAGGGCGCGUAGGCGGGAUGUCAAGUCAGAUGUGAAAUCUAUGGGCUCAACCCAUAAACUGCGUUUGGAACUGACGUUCUUCAGUAUCGGAGAGGCAAGCGGAAUUCCUAGUGUAGCGGUGAAAUGCGUAGAUAUUAGGAGGAACACCAGUGGCGAAGGCGGCUUGCUGGACGACAACUGACGCUGAGGCGCGAAAGCGUGGGGAGCAAAC